UCUCUUUUUUUGGCUGGUCGGUGCGGGAGGGAGCCGCCCUGGGCUGGGAUCACAUGAUAUUGUCUUCGCGCCACUUUCGUAAAACCCUUUUUAUUCCAGGGCUCUGCUCGGGCUAAAAGGUACCGUUGGCUCCUGUGCUUCAGUCAAGAUACUUCUGCGAUGCCUCACCUGCCCUGAAACGAGGAGACCUUUUAAGUGGAAGAGUUUCUGUCUGUUGAUGGGCCUUGAGUUGUGCAAAAGUGCUUACAGUGCAGGUAGAGUUCAGGAUCUACUGCAGUAUAAGCACUUCUGGCAUGACUGUGGCGAUUCAGUGACAGUAGCAGGGCACAGGCGUGACCGGGACCGUUGUUUUGCUGCGUUACAAAUGGUUCUUGUGUUAAGGUGCAUCUAGUGCAGUUAGUGAAGUAGCGUAGAAUCUACUGCCCUAAAUGCUCCUUCUGGCACAAGCUGCUGCCUGCACGUCCAAAACCACGCAUCCAUCUGGCUUAGCUCAGCAAUUACAAUUUUAGGUAAAUCAUUUUGUUCAUUGAAGGCAAUUGCUCAGGAAAUAAGUUUUGUCCUAGCAGUAUCAAAGUGCUCAUAGUGCAGGUAGCUUUGAAUUGGACCUACUGUAAUGUGGGCACUUACAGUACUGCUAGAUAAAGUGCAUCCUAGCUAGUGGCAGUUUCUGGAGAAGAUGGUCCUGAUUACAGUCAGUUUUGCAGGUUUGCAUCCCAGCUUACUAAAAUUGCUGUGCAAAUCCAUGCAAAACUGACUGUGGUGGUGGUGAAUCUGUGGUGGAUAAUGGGUUUUGAAGCUUUCUGUUUUUUUCCGUCAAGAUCUGAAGAUGCCUUGCGCUGGUUUCUCCAUGGGUGGGGAUUUGUUGCAUUACUUGUAGCUAUGUGUAGAGUAUUGCACUUGUCCCGGCCUGUGGAGGAAAGGAGGACUUGUCUUCAGGCUGCGCUGCUUAACGUUUGCCAGUUUGGUAAGCUUUGUUUUGCUGUUGUCGGGUGGAUCACGAUGCAAUUUUGAUUAGUUUAGUAGGAGAAAAAUUGCACGGUAUCCAUCUGUAAACCGCAAGACCUUCAUCGCUGACAACAUAGCCUUUGUCAGAAAUCAAUUCUCACAGCAGUCUGUAGCAAUGUGCAUAACAGCUUGCUGGUGACUCCGCAGCUUACAGGGAUGGGAAGAGACUCCAGACACUAAGGUUUGUCUAUCAUUUGAAAAGGGGGGGGGGGGGGGGGGGAAGUCCUGGGACAGUUGCAGUGGUCCAGGGAAGGGUGUUUGGGGAGUGUUUUUGUAAGAACAUGUAAAUUACUGUGGUGUACUUAAUAAAGAGAUUUUUAAAUAAAA
This is a long non-coding RNA of Oxyura jamaicensis (ruddy duck), 1332 nucleotides long. RefSeq lists it as uncharacterized. NCBI's taxonomy places the organism in Eukaryota, Metazoa, Chordata, Aves, Anseriformes, Anatidae. The record is from RefSeq and is a predicted model, not a curated record. The transcript is spliced from 2 exons.